CGCCUGCCCGGUGCUGGAAGGUUAAGAGGAGUGCUUAGCUUCGGCGAAGGUACGAAUUGAAGCCCCAGUAAACGGCGGCCGUAACUAUAACGGUCCUAAGGUAGCGAAAUUCCUUGUCGGGUAAGUUCCGACCCGCACGAAAGGCGCAACGAUCUGGGCACUGUCUCAACGAGAGACUCGGUGAAAUUAUAGUACCUGUGAAGAUGCAGGUUACCCGCGACAGGACGGAAAGACCCCGUGGAGCUUUACUGCAACCUGAUAUGGAAUGUUUGUACCGCUUGUACAGGAUAGGUAGGAGCCGAAGAGACGUGUGCGCUAGCAUACGAGGAGGCAAUGGUGGGAUACUACCCUGGCUGUAUGACCAUUCUAACCCGCCACGCUUAGCGCGUGGGGAGACAGUGUCAGGUGGGCAGUUUGACUGGGGCGGUCGCCUCCUAAAGAGUAACGGAGGCGCCCAAAGGUUCCCUCAGAAUGGAUGGAAAUCAUUCGCAGAGUGUAA
RNAcentral lists this ribosomal RNA (499 nucleotides) under Listeria monocytogenes. Its description in RNAcentral is "bacterial LSU rRNA". It matches the Rfam family "Bacterial large subunit ribosomal RNA", at positions 1856 to 2354 of the family's 2925-position model. The record is from RNAcentral. Lineage: Bacteria; Bacillati; Bacillota; Bacilli; Caryophanales; Listeriaceae.